Molecule: long non-coding RNA, 2619 nt
Organism: Cryptotermes secundus
Lineage: Eukaryota; Metazoa; Arthropoda; Insecta; Blattodea; Kalotermitidae
Exons: 3
Source: RefSeq, a predicted model, not a curated record
ACCAUGCCAUGAAGAUGUAGAGGAGUGGAGGUAUAGCUUCAAACAUUCUCAGUCUCAGCAUUAGAAGAACUAAGUGGUCACCUUUGCACUCCGACAACCUCUGAGGAACAAACCCCAGUACCCACUGGAUAUGAGGCUGUGUGGACCUCACAGUCAGUCUUGGUACCGUGAUGUUGCUUGCAGAUUCUACUGAAAUUCUUACUGUGGCCAAUUAAAUGAAUCACAAUAAUUGAACCAGGAAAUGGAAUUAACUGCAACAUCAUUCAGUGUGUGGCUGGUUUUAUAGCAGUUUGAUGUAUAUAUGUCUGAGAACAUCAUGGUUUCUCUUCAUCCAAAACUUAUACAGACUAGAAGUUCAUUGUUCCAUGUAUAACACCCAAUAGCAUCAUGGACAAAAAGUGGAGAUGAAAGUAAAAUAAAAUGGAAGUCCUCCACAUGCUUAAUUAAGCAGCAUUCCAGUGAAAGUGGUGGUAUAGAUCCACAUAUUCUUGACACUAGGCAGAGGUGAGUGGUCAGCUUUAUACUUAAGUCAGUUUAACCGUAGGAAGGAACUCCCAGUAUAUCUUGGUUAGGAGGCUGGUUGGGAUCAAAAGUCAAUCUGGAUGCCCCAGUAAAGGAAACAAAUAUUUUCCCCCACUGAGAAUCAAACCCUCAUCGUUUAGUCUCUAUCCUAGUCAGUUUGUUGCCCAAAUUGGCCUGACUGUAUUCAUAGCAAUAUAUUUUCCAUAGUAAAGUAUAAUUUUCAUUUUAAGAUGCAUUUCCCGAUAUGAGCAAUGAGGAACGGGAGCAGAGAUGUCUGGAGCAAACAAGGGCAUGAUUUGUUGUGACAAAACAGUUGAUCUUGUAUGUGUAAAAGUGCUGCCAUAAAUUUCCAGAAACUUGCGUGCAGGCUUGCUUCAUAAAACGUUAAAAACACAACAAGAAGUCUGUUGUGGUCCUGUGGGCCAUGACACUACUCAUAGUGGUAGGUGGUUACCAGUAUUUCAGAGGAAUAUGCCACCUCUGUCUUCAUGAUAAGCGACCCAAGUUGGGAAGUUGGCAGAUUAUAUUAGGGGCGUGGGGAUAAGAGCAGGUUAGGAAGAACAGAGUAGCCAAUCAAUGCCAGGGAUGGAGAGGAUGACACUGGGCCUUGAGCUGGCCAAUGAGAACUGUAGGGCCCAAAGGUGGGGCAACAGCAGUUAAGAGCCAUGUCCCAUGGGAUAUGACGUAUGGUCUUCUAGAUGUUUACUUAUGUUAGGGAACAUACUGCCUGUAUCUGCAGGGUUGAACAGUAAGUCAAGCAUGCAAAUGAACUGCAUCACAUCCCCGAAGAAGAUACUGUUCAUAGUCACUGUCAUGGGAACCUGAAAUCUCACGGGACAGUAACACUUUCUCAACUUGGCCCUCUUCAACCCAGAAUGUGGUGGCAUUAUGUUCUCCUGAAACACUGGUAUCAGUCUACCAGACUGCAGUGCGUCAUAUCCCUGAAGAUGGCAGCAUAAAUCUUCAGUGUCAUUAAAACCUCAAAUUGCAUACAUUAAGAUGUGUUUGUAACAUGCAGAUGAGAGUUGGUUUGUGGAACCUAUGAAGAAAUUUUAGUUGGCUUCUGGACCAUUGAUGUCUGUAAUUCCUUGAGCAGGUCUGUGGAAUUAUGAUCGAAACUUCGAACCUCUUUCUGAUUACAGUGUUAUACAUGCUUUAUUAUUGAAAAGGAAUAGAUGAAAGAAACUAAGUAUUUCAUUACUGCCUUGGGAGUAUAUAUUCAGUAUUUUUCUUUACGGUCAGUUUAUGUAUAGAACAUAUGAUCCGUCAAAUCAACGACAAACUGGGUACAACACACAAUGAACAAAAUUCCAUUGCUCUGAUUUUGUUGGUGAUGUUAUGUACAGGGUGUUUCUGUAGGCCCUUCAGUAUUGCUUGUUGUAUGGACUGUGACCUGAAGUUACGUAGGAACCAUCUGGUAAUUUAUAUCUUGAUUGACUGAGCAGCCAUUAGCUUCUCAAGAUGGACUCUGCUCCAUUUGGGUAGUAUUUAUAGGCUGUGUUUCUCGAUGUGGCCUCUCAUUUGCACAUGAGAAGAAUGGCAAGAAGUAGCAGGGCAGUGGAUGCAGUUACACUGUGGGACGGAGAAAGAGUGAUGCAAUUUACCUAAGGCUGUCCUAUAUCCUAUACAUGCCAUACAAUCCUAUCUCAGUUAGUGAACUUGACGAAAUCCACUGCUCGUUCUGCUGAGCAUGGCCUGAUCUAGGUAUACAGAAGAUGUGACACGUCAGGCAGUGCCAUCUGAAGUAUAUCCAUGUAAAUAUUUAAUGUGUGAUGGUAUGGCAGUUUGUUACAAGAUUAUGGUCUUUAUGUAUAUGUGGCUAUGUAGUUCGGUAGUUAGAUACCAACAUUUACUCGUCUACCCUGAAGAUGCAGGCAGCAGGCUCUUCUGAAACAUUGGCGCCCUUCUACUGAACUGCACUGUUGUCACAUCACAAAAGAUAAUAAUUUUUAAUUCUCACUACCAUGAGAACUUGAAACAUCGUGACCUGUUUAUUCUUUGGUGGUAUGCAGUGAUGCAGCAUAUCAACACUUUUUUUUUAAUUCACUUAUUGGGGAGUGGAGUCCAGUUGGGUCCACUCGGCAUGGCGGCCACUGA